This 468-nucleotide ribosomal RNA is filed under the name uncultured bacterium. Its description in RNAcentral is "partial 16S ribosomal RNA". It matches the Rfam family "Bacterial small subunit ribosomal RNA", at positions 28 to 507 of the family's 1533-position model. The record is from RNAcentral.
GACGAACGCUGGCGGCGUGCUUAACACAUGCAAGUCGAACGGAAAGGCCCUGCUUUUGUGGGGUGCUCGAGUGGCGAACGGGUGAGUAACACGUGAGUAACCUGCCCUUGACUUUGGGAUAACUUCAGGAAACUGGGGCUAAUACCGGAUAGGAGCUCCUGCUGCAUGGUGGGGGUUGGAAAGUUUCGGCGGUUGGGGAUGGACUCGCGGCUUAUCAGCUUGUUUGUGGGGUAGUGGCUUACCAAGGCUUUGACGGGUAGCCGGCCUGAGAGGGUGACCGGGCACAGUGGGACUGAGAUACGGACCAGACGCCUACGGGAGGCAGCAGUGGGGAGUAUUGCACAAUGGGCGGAAGCCUGAUGCAGCAACGCCGCGUGCGGGAUGACGGCCUUCGGGUUGUAAACCGAUGUGGCCUGAGACGAAGCGUGAGUGACGGUAAUGGGUAAAGAAGCACCGGCUAACUACGUG